GUUACGCUGGCGGCGUGCCUAACACAUGCAAGUCGAACGGUUCUAAGCGCGAGCUUAGGAUAGUGGCGAACGGGUGAGUAAAAGGUAGGAAUCUACCCCUUGGACGGAGAUAGCUACUGGAAACGGUAGGUAAACUUCGAUAAGCCCGAGAGGGGAAAGUGGUGAGACAGCCGAGGGAUGAGCCUACUCUCCAUCAGGUAGUUGGUGAGAUAAAAGCUUACCAAGCCGAUGACGGAUAACCGGUGUGAGAGCAUGAACGGUCACAAGGGCACUGAGAGACGGGCCCUACUCCUACGGGAGGCAGCAGUGGGGAAUCUUGGACAAUGGGCGAAAGCCUGAUCCAGCGACGCCGCGUGGAGGAAGAAGUCCUUCGGGAUGUAAACUUCUGAACUAGCCGAAUAAAAGGCUGUGGACACACAGGAGAAGAAAGUAGGCUAGGAAAAGUCCCGGCUAACUACGUG
Molecule: ribosomal RNA, 461 nt
Filed under: uncultured bacterium
Lineage: Bacteria
Description: bacterial SSU rRNA
Rfam family: Bacterial small subunit ribosomal RNA
Source: RNAcentral